This 955-nucleotide long non-coding RNA is filed under the name Marmota monax (woodchuck). The record is from RNAcentral. Lineage: Eukaryota; Metazoa; Chordata; Mammalia; Rodentia; Sciuridae.
UACUUUAUUUAGAAUUCUGCUCCCUUAAAAAUAGCAAAAUCUAAUUGUUAAAAAGUUUUGAAAAACAAAUAUUGCAAGGAAUACAAAAUUAAAAAGAUACAGGAAGACUGAAAGCCAAAUGUGAAAAGACAAGAAACAUAAAAUACACAUCAGAGACAGCAAAUACGAUUCAAAUAUUAUAAAAGGUAAUAUUAACAAUUGGUGUCCGAGGGAGGUAGUUGCUAAAUUGACAAAUGACAUGUCCAUUGACUCUGAAUUAAAACACUGGGAAGACAAAUAUGAAAAGAGUCUCAGAAGGCUUUAGGAUGAGAUCAGAGCCUGAGAUGGGACAUAGAUAAUUGCAGUUCAAUAGCAGCAUUAGGAAAAGCAAACAGGAGCCUGGAGUAGUUGUAAGUCACAGAGCACAGCCAUGGGAGUAGAAGUAGAGACAGAAAUGCUAAGUGUCUUGAAGUGCAAGUUGGAAAACAGGGUGAAGUGGAAGCAACCCAUAAAGCUGAGCAGGGUGAGGGGCAUCCAGGCCCCCAGAGUAUGCACUAAGCGGGUUUGCACAGAUUUUGUACCUACUUAAAAGUUUCUGGGAUAAAGAGUGACACUAUGAUCUGUAUUCUUUCCUCUUCAAAAUGAUUUUUGGAAAAUUAUAGCAUUGACUCUGAUCAUUUGAAUAAGAUAGUUCUAAACUAUUAUCCUUGUAUGAAUGGGGAAUUAUAUCUUAUAAAUGGCACUGCAUUAUACUAUAUGAUUUUCAAAACGACUUAAAUAUUAAGAAAAUAUAUAUUAUAAAAGAUUUGGCUUUUUUCUCUUAGAUUUCUGAAGAUUUCUGUGUGCUUAUGACAAUCUUGUGUAAAUGUAAUUUGGAUAAAGAAUGUAAAUAUGCUUGCAAAUAAUUUUCAAAAUAAUGCUAAUCUAAUAGAGGCAUGGAACAUGUCUACCCAUGGAAUCAAGACAUGGAUAUCUG